Myxocyprinus asiaticus (Chinese sucker) is the source of this 2940-nucleotide RNA transcript. It is a transcript of the gene named CREB/ATF bZIP transcription factor-like, with no coding region annotated. Lineage: Eukaryota; Metazoa; Chordata; Actinopteri; Cypriniformes; Catostomidae. The transcript is spliced from 5 exons. The record is from RefSeq and is a predicted model, not a curated record.
GUUCGUCGCAGUGUCGUCGUUGGGCCCGCGCUGGUGCUCUUAAGGAGGCCCUACUUCCAAGCUCAAACCUUUUUUUUUUUUUUUGCCCGUUAUCUGAAUUUUCCACGUCAUUCUUUACCACCUACAAGACUAUCCGUCUCACGCACGCAGUCUGCACUUUAAGACUCUUUUAAGAUAUACAGAUUUAAGGCGGGUACUAACCAGAACCACGGCGGUGGCCAUGAUCACCAGAAAAAGAGGAAGAACCAGCCUCAAUGCCAAUGUCACAUGUACAAGUGCCUCCCAGGAGAGUGAUGUUGCUUUAAAAACCGGUAAUGUGAGUGAUGCAAGCACGCACACUUCUCCAGAAAGUGACACCAAUGAUUGGGGCCUGGAUGAGCUGUUUGGCUCUGAUUUCAACUGGGACCUGGACAACAAUGUGCUUGAUUCUUUCAGCAACUUUGAAACCCACACAUCGACCAAUGACGAGAUGGAUCAGAAUCUGGUGGCAGAUGUUUCCUCAUCCCGCCACAGAGGUGUGGUCCACAGUUCAAAACUGCAAGGUGUCUCCGAUCGAAUCAUCAACAAGAAUGCCAUGGCGGCAAGGAUGAAUCGUUUGAAGAAGAAAGAGUACGUCAGUGGCCUGGAGCAAAGAGUUGGCUCGUUGACGUCAGAGAACCGGAUUCUCAAACAGGAAAAUGGGAGCCUCAGUGAGAGAGUGGAAGAACUGGAGAAUGAAACUAGGUACUUGAGAGCCGUGUUGGCUAAUGAGAGCAUGCUGGCACAGCUGUUGUCUAGAUUGAGCGGUGUGAACGGCAUGAAAUUUUCUAACUCGCUUUUCCAGGAGUCCAACAAGAACGACCAUGAUUAUGCCAUGCCGAGGAAGAGGGUGAAGGUGGAAGACAAAGAUACUGCAGGUGGCAUCUGCCUGCAUGUGGACAAAGACCACGUCUCGGUGGAAUUCUGCACCAAGUGUGCAGAGAGUUCAAGCUUGUCGCACAAAAUUUUUCUUCUAGGUGCUUGGUCCGCCAUGCUGGAUGAGUGCAUCACAGAACAUCAUUGACUGCCGAAAACCAUGUGGAUUUUGCUGUGGGGGAAAGCAGAAGAGUCGGGACCAGCACCUUGCAUCAUGGCCCUGGUAAAUUUAAAAAGACAGCACUUUCUUCGCUCUCUACAAGAGCCUUAUCUUACCUCUCCUCAAAGUGGAUAAAGAGUGGUGAUGGUUUCUCCCCAUUAAAUACAAUCUAUAUGGCAGAAUUUCUUUAAGAGAUGGUUCAGCCAUAAAUUACUAUUGUCAUUUACUCAUCUUUAUGUUGUUCUAAACCCGAAUGACUGACUGUCUUCCGUGGAACAAAAAGGAAGGAGAUGUUAGGCAGUAUUUUAGGAGCUGGCAGCCACCUUUCAAAAAGGUCCCAUUCCAUUGAGAGUCCUAUUCUGUCUUGUGGGUUUGGAACAAUAUGAAGGUGAGUAAAUGAGGGCAGAAUUAACAUUUUUGGAUGAACAAUGCAUUUAAGGGCUCCAUUAGUGACAUGACAUGAUAGCCACUAAACAAAUGAACAGCUAUUUUGUCUGCUAAAGGUCUUUUAUUGGUAACUUUUCUCUGAUGUUGCAGAUCAACCCAAGCAGUUCUGAAAUGUGUAUCUAGCUGGGUUUCCAUCAAAAUGUUGCACAUUUCUGAAAAUUCAACUAAAGAAUAUGAGUCGUUGUAUGUAUCCAUCCACUACGUCACUCGCAUUGAGGGAGCCCACCUUGUCAUAAUGUAGCAGUUGAACGACCACUUGCCUCUGGGAUAGUUCUAUUUGCAGGAUUGAAGCAAUUGUACCUUGAUUUAUUAAAUGCUGCCAGGAGACGGCACAGAAAAAGUGAAAUAUCUGAUAUAAUGAGGGCUGAAAUGGCUGUGACGCCCACGCCGUCAGUCCGCAUACUUGGAGUGCCCCUGCUCCAACUGUUCUGGUGGAUUGUGAGGACCCAUUGUAACGACCAGCUGUGGGUUAAACACUUCCGAUGGCUGUGUUUGAAGAAAUGUGUGCCAAGGUCUGACUUUUCAUUGAGACUGUCACAUCAAGCUAUUGCACACUCGUGCACAAAUGGUCAAAACACGUCAUUGUUUUGCGAAUUGCACCUUAAUGUGCAUUUUAACUAAUGUGAAAAUCUAUAAAAUCCACCUUCUCCUAGCGCGUUACAUUUUUAAGCUGAUUUUGAGAGUUUAUUCAUGUAUCAAGCGGUUCCAUUCAGGAUUUCUUAUGCACAAUUUCAAAAUGCACAAAAAAAUUGUUGGAUGAAAACCCAGCUACUGUUGUUGAUGCAUUGUUUUGUUUCAGGGAUUCCAUAUUGCAGUCCAUGUGAAUACCACAAUUAUCUUAUUGAAUCCUUAGGCCAACAAUGGAAUUUCAGUUUUUUUAUUUUUAUCUAUUGUUAAAUCUUUUCCCCCCUCAGAUAAGACACAGGAGUACUCAAAGUAGUCUCCAAACAAAAGUCAGAUGUCAAAGUAAUUUGCUUAUUUCUACCCUUACAUUUCAGAAUUGUCUUGGUUGAUAAUUGUUGUUGGGGAUUGGAGUGUGCACAAAUGCACUUUAGAAAGUCUUUCUGUAGCAAUAUUGGAAAAGUGCACUUGUAGCCCAGUUGCUAACAGUAUCUAAUCAAUGUAAAUGUUCUCCAUACGAUAAUUUGGUAAGUUGUACACUGACAAAAGGGCAUUGGCAUUUAACACCACUGUUUAUCCACUCUCUCUCUCAUGGGCAUAUUGUACCUCUAUUUAAGGUUUUGUUUUAUCUUGGUAACAUCUAUAAUGUUGCUGCUCUUUACACUACCAUUCAAAAGUUUGUAAUUGCCGUGGUAUUUUUGUCAUUGAAAGAAAAUGAUAAUUUUCUACACCAAUGAUGCUUUUACAAUUUUUGAAGGAUUGCAGUAAAGACAAUUGUUACAAAUGACUUUCUAUUUAAUUAAAUGCUGUAUUCAGAC